GAUGAACGCUAGCGGCAGGCUUAAUACAUGCAAGUCGAGGGGCAGCGCGGGUAGCAAUACCUGGCGGCGACCGGCAAACGGGUGCGGAACACGUACGCAACCUUCCCAUAACUGGUGAAUAGCCCUCCGAAAGGAGGAUUAAUACACCGUAAGAUAACGAAGAGGCAUCUCUUUGUUAUUAUAGCUACGGCGGUUUUGGAUGGGCGUGCGCCUGAUUAGGUAGUUGGCGGGUAACGGCCCACCAAGCCUACGAUCAGGUAACUGGUGUGAGAGCACGACCAGUCACACGGGCACUGAGACACGGGCCCGACUCCUACGGGAGGCAGCAGUAAGGAAUAUUGGUCAAUGGACGCAAGUCUGAACCAGCCAUGCCGCGUGAAGGAUGAAGGUCCUCUGGAUUGUAAACUUCUUUUAUCUGGGACGAAAAAGGGCUUUCUAGCUCACUUGACGGUACCAGAGGAAUAAGCACCGGCUAACUCCGUG
This 483-nucleotide ribosomal RNA is filed under the name uncultured bacterium. Its description in RNAcentral is "bacterial SSU rRNA". It matches the Rfam family "Bacterial small subunit ribosomal RNA", at positions 28 to 507 of the family's 1533-position model. The record is from RNAcentral.